GUGUCAGCAGCCGCGGUAAAACCAGCACCUCAAGUGGUCAGGAUGAUUAUUGGGCCUAAAGCAUCCGUAGCCGGCUUUGUUAGUUUUCGGUUAAAUCCAUGUGCUCAACGCAUGGGCUGCCGAAAAUACUGCAUAGCUAGGGAGUGGGAGAGGUAGACGGUACUCGAUAGGAAGGGGUAAAAUCCUUUGAUCUAUUGAUGACCACCUGUGGCGAAGGCGGUCUACCAGAACACGUUCGACGGUGAGGGAUGAAAGCUGGGGGAGCAAACCGGAUUAGAUACCCGGGUAGUCCCAGCUGUAAACGAUGCAGACUCGAUGAUGCAUUGGCAUAAUAGCCAGUGCAGUGUCGCAGGGAAGCCGUUAAGUCUGCCGCCUGGGAAGUACGUACGCAAGUAUGAAACUUAAAGGAAUUGGCGGGGGAGCACCACAAGGGGUGAAGCCUGCGGUUCAAUUGGAGUCAACGCCAGAAAUCUUACCCGGAGAGACAGCGGAAUGAAGGUCAAGCUGAAGACUUUACCAAACAAGCUGAGAGGUGGUGCAUGGCCGUCGUCAGCUCGUGCCGUGAGAUGUCCUGUUAAGUCAGGUAACGAGCGAGAUCCCUGCCACUAGUUGCUAUCACUAUUCUCAGGAAUAGUGGGGCGAAUUAGUGGGACUGCCGUUGUUAAAACGGAGGAAGGAAGGGGCCACGGCAGGUCAGUAUGCCCCGAAACUCUGGGGCCACACGCGGGCUGCAAUGGUAGUGACAAUGAGUUCCAAACUCGAAAGAGAGUGGCAAUCUCUAAACGCUACCACAGUUAUGACUGAGGGCUGUAACUCGCCCUCACGAAUAUGGAAUCCCUAGUAACCGCGUGUCAUUACCGCGCGGCGAAUACGUCCCUGCUCCUUGCACACACCGCCCGUC
This 901-nucleotide ribosomal RNA is filed under the name uncultured archaeon. RNAcentral describes it as "bacterial SSU rRNA". It matches the Rfam family "Archaeal small subunit ribosomal RNA", at positions 455 to 1354 of the family's 1478-position model. The record is from RNAcentral.